RNAcentral lists this ribosomal RNA (601 nucleotides) under uncultured bacterium. Its description in RNAcentral is "bacterial SSU rRNA". It matches the Rfam family "Bacterial small subunit ribosomal RNA", at positions 123 to 719 of the family's 1533-position model. The record is from RNAcentral.
AACGUGCCGAGUAAUGGGGGAUAACGCAUCGAAAGGUGUGCUAAUACCGCAUACGCUCUGAGGAGGAAAGCGGGGGACCUUUGGGCCUCGCGUUAUUCGAGCGGCCGACGUCUGAUUAGCUAGUUGGUGGGGUAAAGGCUCACCAAGGCGACGAUCAGUAGCGGGUCUGAGAGGAUGAUCCGCCACACUGGGACUGAGACACGGCCCAGACUCCUACGGGAGGCAGCAGUGGGGAAUUUUGGACAAUGGGCGAAAGCCUGAUCCAGCCAUGCCGCGUGAGUGAAGAAGGCCUUCGGGUUGUAAAGCUCUUUUGUCCGGGAGGAAAUCCCGCAACCUAAUACGUUGCGGGGAUGACAGUACUGGAAGAAUAAGCACCGGCUAACUACGUGCCAGCAGCCGCGGUAAUACGUAGGGUGCAAGCGUUAAUCGGAAUUACUGGGCGUAAAGCGUGCGCAGGCGGUUUGAUAAGUCAGAUGUGAAAUCCCCGGGCUUAACCUGGGAACUGCGUUUGAAACUGUCAGGCUAGAGUACGUCAGAGGGGGGUGGAAUUCCACGUGUAGCAGUGAAAUGCGUAGAGAUGUGGAGGAACACCGAUGGCGAA